RNAcentral lists this ribosomal RNA (290 nucleotides) under uncultured bacterium. Its description in RNAcentral is "partial 16S ribosomal RNA". It matches the Rfam family "Bacterial small subunit ribosomal RNA", at positions 773 to 1060 of the family's 1533-position model. The record is from RNAcentral.
GUGGAUUAGAUACCCUGGUAGUCCACGCCGUAAACGAUGAUAUCUAGCUGUCCGGGCACUUGGUGCUUGGGUGGCGCAGCUAACGCAUUAAGUUAUCCGCCUGGGGAGUACGGCCGCAAGGUUAAAACUCAAAGGAAUUGACGGGGGCCUGCACAAGCGGUGGAGCAUGUGGUUUAAUUCGAAGCAACGCGCAGAACCUUACCAGCGUUUGACAUGUCCGGACGAUUUCCAGAGAUGGAUCUCUUCCCUUCGGGGACUGGAACACAGGUGCUGCAUGGUCGUCGUCAGCU